Molecule: ribosomal RNA, 542 nt
Filed under: uncultured bacterium
Lineage: Bacteria
Description: bacterial LSU rRNA
Rfam family: Bacterial large subunit ribosomal RNA
Source: RNAcentral
ACCCCUAUCAAACUCCGAAUACUGUAACUUAAAAGAAUGGCAGUCAGACUACGGGAGAUAAGUUUCGUGGUCGAAAGGGAAACAGCCCAGACCGUCGUCUAAGGUCCCUAAAUUUGCACUAAGUGGCAAAGGAUGUGGGGGUGCAUAUACAACCAGGAGGUUGGCUUAGAAGCAGCCACCCUUUAAAGAGUGCGUAAUAGCUCACUGGUCGAGUGCCCUUGCGCCGAAAAUGUAACCGGGACUAAGUGUGAUACCGAAGACACGGAUUCGUAGCAAUACGAGUGGUAGAGGAGCGUUCCUUCAUCCGAUGAAGAUAUACCGUAAGGAGUAUUGGAGGAGUAGGAAGUGAAGAUGCCGGCAUGAGUAGCGAUAAAAGGGGUGAGAUUCCCCUUCACCGAUAGCCUAAGGUUCCCGGAGGUCAAUCCGCCGGGGUUAGUCGGUCCCUAAGAUGAGGCUGAAGAGCGUAGUCGAUGGGAAGCAGUUUCAUAUUCCUGCACUGAAUUGUUUGUGCGAUGGAGUGACGGAGGAAGAUAGUUGUGCGG